This 357-nucleotide transfer-messenger RNA is filed under the name Desulfobacteraceae. RNAcentral's name for it is "Desulfamplus sp015232555 Standard tmRNA". It matches the Rfam family "transfer-messenger RNA". From Rfam's summary of the family: Bacterial tmRNA, also known as 10Sa RNA or SsrA, is named for its dual tRNA and mRNA-like properties. Its role is to liberate the mRNA from a stalled ribosome. To accomplish this part of the tmRNA is used as a reading frame that ends in a translation stop signal. RNAcentral also lists the same sequence under 1 other name. Lineage: Bacteria; Pseudomonadati; Thermodesulfobacteriota; Desulfobacteria; Desulfobacterales. The record is from RNAcentral.
GGGGGCGAAAAGGCUUCGACGGAGACGACGAGGUUUUGGUAGCAUGCCGAGCUUUCUGUUGACUCGUAAAAUCAAUGGAAACUAAAGAUAAUCGCAGACGAUUAUAACUACGCUGUAGCUGCUUAGGCAGCUUCCGUCCUGCUGAAAAAUUUCCUGCAGCUUUCAGUUAAAGGGCGUCGAUUAUGCGGGAACGCUUCACAUUGGUGUCUGACUUAUGUGAGGUUAAAUUUAUCAGGCUAUGUUGAUAUGUAUCCGUCCUGAGGGAGACUUUCAACAAAAUUUAAAGUUCAGGAUAAGCAUGUAGAAGUCACUGCUAACUCUUUUCGGACGCGGGUUCGACUCCCGCCGCCUCCACCA